GGUCCCGUAGCUCAAUGGCAGAGCAUCCGGCUUACACCCGGUGUGCGCAGGUUCGAUUCCUGUCGGGACUA
RNAcentral lists this transfer RNA (71 nucleotides) under Nocardioidaceae bacterium. Its description in RNAcentral is "tRNA-Val". It matches the Rfam family "tRNA". Rfam says of the family: Transfer RNA (tRNA) molecules are approximately 80 nucleotides in length. The record is from RNAcentral. RNAcentral also lists the same sequence under 1 other name. Lineage: Bacteria; Bacillati; Actinomycetota; Actinomycetes; Propionibacteriales; Nocardioidaceae.